GCAUUGGUGGUUCAGUGGUAGAAUUCUCACCUUCCAUGCAGGAGCCCUGGGUUCAAUUCCCAGCCAAUGCA
This 71-nucleotide transfer RNA is filed under the name Trichechus manatus latirostris (Florida manatee). Its description in RNAcentral is "tRNA-Gly (TCC) (tRNA-Gly-TCC-48-1)". It matches the Rfam family "tRNA". Rfam says of the family: Transfer RNA (tRNA) molecules are approximately 80 nucleotides in length. The record is from Rfam by way of RNAcentral. Lineage: Eukaryota; Metazoa; Chordata; Mammalia; Sirenia; Trichechidae.